This 476-nucleotide ribosomal RNA is filed under the name uncultured organism. RNAcentral describes it as "partial 16S ribosomal RNA". It matches the Rfam family "Bacterial small subunit ribosomal RNA", at positions 334 to 801 of the family's 1533-position model. The record is from RNAcentral.
CACUCCUACGGGAGGCAGCAGUGGGGAAUAUUGCACAAUGGGCGCAAGCCUGAUGCAGCCAUGCCGCGUGUAUGAAGAAGGCCUUCGGGUUGUAAAGUACUUUCAGCGGGGAGGAAGGCGAUAAGGUUAAUAACCUUGUUGAUUGACGUUACCCGCAGAAGAAGCACCGGCUAACUCCGUGCCAGCAGCCGCGGUAAUACGGAGGGUGCAAGCGUUAAUCGGAAUUACUGGGCGUAAAGCGCACGCAGGCGGUCUGUCAAGUCGGAUGUGAAAUCCCCGGGCUCAACCUGGGAACUGCAUUCGAAACUGGCAGGCUAGAGUCUUGUAGAGGGGGGUAGAAUUCCAGGUGUAGCGGUGAGAUGCGUAGAGAUCUGGAGGAAUACCGGUCGCGAAGGCGGCCCCCUGGACAAAGACUGACGCUCAGGUGCGAAAGCGUGGGGAGCAAACAGGAUUAGAUACCCUAGUAGUCCCAUGAU